Molecule: long non-coding RNA, 214 nt
Organism: Ornithodoros turicata
Lineage: Eukaryota; Metazoa; Arthropoda; Arachnida; Ixodida; Argasidae
Exons: 3
Source: RefSeq, a predicted model, not a curated record
GCCGUCCCCACGAUCUUCGCAGCAACUUCUGGCGACAACGGUCUUAACAUCAGUAACGAAUCUGAUGUGCAUAAUUCUGAGGCCUGCCAGGUGCUGUCCCAAACGGAAUCGUGUAUCGCCGAACCAGCCGAACAUCUGACAGACAAUUCAGAGGGAGCAAGAUGCGAGAGCAGAGGAACUUUCCUUCCUGUGCCACAGUCAAUAUCUGAUGACG